UAAUGGUUUCCAUGUUU
RNAcentral lists this microRNA (17 nucleotides) under Corchorus olitorius. RNAcentral's name for it is "hsa-miR-30". Lineage: Eukaryota; Viridiplantae; Streptophyta; Magnoliopsida; Malvales; Malvaceae. The record is from RNAcentral.